This 207-nucleotide long non-coding RNA is filed under the name Sorghum bicolor (sorghum). Its description in RNAcentral is "long non-coding RNA (SBIC_LNC017326)". Lineage: Eukaryota; Viridiplantae; Streptophyta; Magnoliopsida; Poales; Poaceae. The record is from RNAcentral.
CGAGAGAAAGUGGCGGUCCCAGCUGUCAGCAGGUCAAAGGAAAGGGAAGGGGAGGGAGGCGUGCGGUUGGGCCAGAGUUGGGCCGCUGCUGCCGACUGCGCGCAGGAGGACUGGGCCGCGGGAAAGGCUGGGCCGCCUGCUGCGGCAGCGCUGGCUUUUUUUUCUUUUCUUUUUCCAAAUCCUCUUUUUUUUCCAAAUGAGCUUUUG